GUUUUAUUUUCAUCUGAUUAUCUGAUCCAGCAAAUCGCCCAUUCCCUCUCAGCACUCAGAUCACAUCUCUGAUGGACUGGUUGCCAUCCUGCAGUAGAAGGAUGUGUGACUCCAAAUUCAGAGUCGAGAUGAAUACUCCCUCUGGUGGUAUGGGUGGCAGAAGUAGGCUUGGAAACAUACCCCUCAAACUUGGGAUAAAGGCAUUUCUCACAAAUAUAGGCUACUGACUGUUUUUAAACUGAGAUGGGAGUUUAAGUGAUGUUUCAUGUGAUCUGUUGUCUAAAGGCUGACUACAGUGGAAUCUAUACUCCGCUCAAAGUAACUGUCAUAAUAAAGGGAACAUGAGACAUUGAGGAGGAGAGCACAUCCUAUACACUGUCAUUGUCCAGAUGUUUCCACAGCUGCAAGAAUUUGAAACUGCACUGGUUGCUUCUUCAACAUAGGAUGUAGGUUUCCAGGCCACCCACAAGAAUUUCUGUGCUCAAAGGAUGAAUAAUUAGCCUUACUUCUUUUUUUUUUAAAGAGACAACCAGUUGAAUGUUAGGGAACUUACAGUGCAGCACAAGUCCCAAAUCCUGGAGGAAGGAGCAACAGUGAUUUACACUGGAAAGGAGAGGAAUAAAACACGAAUGGAUAAGGGUCAGAAUGGAGCAGUGAGAAAAAUCACAGUCCACAGAGAUGACUUGCUGCGACUCCCUGACCUGCAGACGUGGAGCGAGGAGCUGGCAGAGCUGACUGGUCAAAGUCAACCAACCAACCACCUUCUGGAUGACCUUCUCCUUCCAGACAAGGCAGAGGGGACUGGCAUUAAUCAGCUGAAGACGUGCCAUCACACCUGUUGGCAUCAGACAUUUUUAAUUAUUGAGUAAUUAAAUAGCUUGAGAUUUUAAUUAUGCCAUUAGGUAGAGAUGUGCACUGCACAUUAUUCUGUCAGUAUAUGCCAAAUCAUAAUGGAAUAAGGUCAGACUGGAUUUAGGAUGGAAGCAUAUUUUUAUUUAAAUAACUAAAUUGAAUGAUAAGCAAACAUACAUGGUUAUUUGACAGAGGCAUCUUAUAUUUUCUCAUUGCUUUUGUUCUUUUUGAGUGCUGUAUUCUAUUUUUGUGUGGGCAUGCUAAUUGCCAAACAAUUGUAUUUUUAAUCAAAGGAAAUGAAAGUCUCAUGCACAUUGUUUUGAUUCAACAAUUUUAGGCUCGAGGCAUCACUCCUGCCAAAUGGAUAGGCCUGGGGAUAUUUAAGAGUCAGGAAAAUAGCCCACAGAUGGAGUAUUGUGCAUUUCUAUAUUAUGAUAAAAAUGCAAAAAGAUGCUGUGAAUUCUACCCCCCCCCCCCCGAGAUAUGUCUUAUCGGAGUCCAUUAUUCUCUGCUGGUGUAUGGCAGAGCAGAGGAAUGAGCUCAAUUAGGUGAGGAAAUGAGAGGAGAGGAGGAAUUUGGACCCCAGUGUUUGGAGAGAAAGAAAAUGAAACAUCGGAGGAAGGUCAAGAGAACAUAAGAAAGGAGCAGUGGGGAAUGAGGGAACAGAAGAGAGAGAAAGGAGGGAGAUGUAGAGAGUGAGACAGAGAGGAUGAGAAAGUGAAACUAUGUUGUCAUGGAAACUGGCAUGGAUCUGAAGAGCAAAACAAGAAUGUAAAUUGGUUUACCCUUAGGGAAUGUGAUGGCGCUACAGGGAAGAAAUAAGCACGCAGAUGUAUUUAAGGGAGGACCCUCCACAACAUUAUAUCUAAAUAAAGAGAUUUGGAACAAAAAUAGAUUUAUAUCAGUAAUGAUGAUGCCAUAUGUAUAUGGCUUUAAAUACAGAGGCUUAAUGUAUUGACUCCCAGCAUCUGUUAGACAAAGGCAGUUGUGGUCACUACUCAUCUCUUUUGGCAGAACAGUUAAUUACAAAUGACUAAUUAAAAAAAUGCGUCCAUCUGAGAGGCGCAGAGUUCCGUCUGA
Seriola aureovittata is the source of this 1932-nucleotide long non-coding RNA. RefSeq lists it as uncharacterized. The record is from RefSeq and is a predicted model, not a curated record. The transcript has 2 exons. Lineage: Eukaryota; Metazoa; Chordata; Actinopteri; Carangiformes; Carangidae.